Molecule: ribosomal RNA, 225 nt
Filed under: uncultured bacterium
Lineage: Bacteria
Description: partial 16S ribosomal RNA
Rfam family: Bacterial small subunit ribosomal RNA
Source: RNAcentral
CGUAACGCGUAUGCAAUCUACCUUUAACCGGUGAAUAGCCCGAAGAAAUUCGGAUUAACACACCAUAGUAUUGUUUGUUGGCAUCAACAGACAAUUAAAACUCCGGUGGUUAAAGAUGAGCAUGCGUGACAUUAGCUAGUUGGUGAGGUAAUGGCUCACCAAGGCUACGAUGUCUAGGGGAUCUGAGAGGAUUAACCCCCACACUGGUACUGAGACACGGACCAG